This is a long non-coding RNA of Carya illinoinensis, 2510 nucleotides long. RefSeq lists it as uncharacterized. The transcript is spliced from 2 exons. Lineage: Eukaryota; Viridiplantae; Streptophyta; Magnoliopsida; Fagales; Juglandaceae. The record is from RefSeq and is a predicted model, not a curated record.
AUCCAACUAAGUCCCACAUUGUUCAAUUACAUAAAUCUCGAACAGUUUAUGAGCGUAAACAAGCGAGAGUCAGAUCGUCCCUUCGGGGACAUCCGAUAAAAUUGGAACGAUACAGAGAAGAUUAGCAUGGCCCCUGCGCAAGGAUGACACGCACAAAUCGAGAAAUGGUCCAAAUUUUUUUUUCAUCACUUGAUUCACAGAAUCAAUGGGUUUUCUUCUGUUUCCCUUUUUCCUGUUGGUUACUCUCUUAUUUGUAGGUUUUUUUUUUUUCAUUCGUUGGUCUCAAGGAGGAUGAGGACUCAUACAACCAGGACUUCCUGGAGGUGCAAUCGCAAGAAUUAUAUGAAGAUUUUCUCGGUUUGUAUCCUGCUGUGGAGGGAGGUUGCUAAGUCGUUGAAAAGUCGCAGCAUAGACUCCUAGUAAUCUGAUUUGGAAAGAAAAUCUGUGUAGUGAUGAUAUGGAUGCUGUUGAGUGCUUAGUUUUGCUGAGAUUCUGUGAUAGCUUUCUUAUUUUCUUGAUGUUGCAUCGCUGUGAAUUAACGUGCAAAUCUUCCUUGUGAUAGUUGUCAAGUGAAGUCCCAACAGGAUUGAAACUUUACAAGAGCAAGUCGAUUGGUGUCCCAACUUAGUUACAAGGAACAUGUCUGCCACGAGCCGAUGGUUACAGUGGGGUCGAUAUCCUAUGCAUUGAAUCUCAAACUUGAUGUGUCCCCUCUAAUUGUUUUAGCCUCCCAUACUUAUAAAAAAAAAAAAUGGUUGUCUUAGCCUCCCACGGGCCAUGUUUUUACUAAGUGCGCCUCGCCCAUAUUUCCCUUCUCCAAGUACCAAUUUUUAGUUGACCUUGCAAACCAAAUUGAACUGUAUUUCAUGGCCAUGCUCUCGAAAGGAACUCUUGGCGCCUUAAAUUUUAUACCAACUUCUGCUCAAUGAGGGCAUUUGGAUUCAGGUGGGGGUUUGUUUGCAGAUUUUGGUAGGGAUAUAUCUUUCGUUUGGACUCCCAGGUAAAGACUGGUAACAGGUUUGUUUGACGAGUGACUUGUGAGAGCUUGGCCGGUAAGAUGUGCUUUAUCAGAACAUGAUGUUGCUAUAAAGGGGUGAUAGGACCUUCGCCGGAGCUAUGAGGAGGUAUGUUUACUUGAUUUAUGAGCGUAAGAUUACUUAAGACUGAUGGAUAUUACUGGUAAAAUUCAAACUCUUUAUCAUUAUCUUGUUUGAGUGAUGAAUUCAAGCCCCAUAGCGUGGUCAUGAGAUCAACAGAAUAGGGAAAAAAAAAAAAAAACUGAGGUGUGUAUUUACUUUUAAAACAUAAAAUGACAGUAGGCACUAAAUUUACUAAGCAUGCUAAAAUCAGGUGCUUGUUGAGAUAAUGGUACAAGCUAGAACAACUGGAUGUGCAACUUAAUGAUUUGAAUUGGGAUUGCUCUUAUUUUCUUUCAAUAAACUUGUAGAACUUCGCUGGAAUACUCUUUCCUUUCAUCCAACCUUGUAGCCAUCCUAUGCUAUACUAUCCUGUAUGCUGUCUUGCUUAAAAAUGUUAAUACAGACCCAACACGUUGGUGGUCAAUUUCAAGUUUCCCUUCCGAGUUCCUCGUCCUUGAGGUGGUCAUCAUCAGAAACAGCAACAGCCCACUCAGAUUCAAAUGUGACAUCCAGGACAUAGCAUGGAAAGCAAGACAAAGCAGGAAAGCAACAUGGGGGUAGAUCCAAAGAUCUCAACAACAAAUAGGGAAGGAAAAGUAGAAGGCUUGCAAGACUAAAGACCAGAAAUAGCUGGCUCCUAUUCAUGGUACUGGCUACGUAAUCAGUUGUGAGAGAGAUAGUGCUGAUCGGAUAACAUGUUCUUGAAGGGCAGUUUGCUGAGGUUGCUUGCAGGCCUGCAGUACCUUAUUGACUGCACUUUGAAUAGGAAAGCCACGAAGAAGCAGACCAAUAUGGAGAAGCCAAGCUCGCUUUCAUCUCCAAACACAAGAAAUUCCCAUUUGUCCGAGCAGUGGAAGCCAAUAGGGUGGAUGCCAUUACGUUGUUUUGCAGUUGCUGCACAGCAAGAACGCCAUUAUUGGACAAGUUCUCCGUUAUAGCGUGGGAGAAGCAGGCAAUUGACGACAUGGAUGCCAAUAAAAGUCUUGUUGGGGUGCUUCAGAAUUCGAUAGAGGAGCCGUAUGCGAUGGUAUCAUAAUGCCUACAUUAAAGUAAGGUCUGAAGGAUAAUGCGUAAUCAACAACUUUUCCCUUCAUUGCCAUAAAUGUGUGGGGAUCGUUUUCCCUUUGCUGUACAACCGACCAUUUUGUUUGUUCUUGAAGGACGGAGACGAAAGAUAGAGAGAAGGGGAGUCCAGUGUAAUACCAAUUACUGAGAUGAUUUGAGUGAUACCAAUUUAAGCGAAACAAUUGAUGAUAUGUAAUGAUUAACUUUCUAGUAAGUCUCACACGUACGUGGGGACGUAAACCAAUCCAUCACAUGAAAUCAAAGAAUCAAGCAACCAAUUGAAUAGAAUUUAGACAUGUUUUGAUA